This 1144-nucleotide long non-coding RNA is filed under the name Anas platyrhynchos platyrhynchos (common mallard). RNAcentral's name for it is "lncRNA (ENSAPLG00000026302.1)". The record is from RNAcentral. Lineage: Eukaryota; Metazoa; Chordata; Aves; Anseriformes; Anatidae.
CUUGAAUCAGGUUUCAAGUUUGAAGACACUGAGACCUGGGAACAUGGUUCAGAAUAUUAUGAAGCCGGUGAAAUGCAAAACAGGAGGUAGGUAAUAUCAUACCUUUUUUUUUUUUUUCUUUUUUUCUUUUUUUUCUUUUUUUUUCUUUUAGCACUUAAAUUCCUCUCAAGGUCCAAAGAUUUUGGUUCAUAAUCUUGAAAUCUCACUCAGCCUCUGCGAACACUUGGAAGGAAUUCUCAUACUAGCAAGUUCCUCCUGAACACUGCUACUACCAUGACAACUAUUUAUUUGGAAUGAAAUGCAUGGGGCGACAGAUGUUCCUUCAUCAUCCAUAUGCUGAAAUAUUAUGCUUCUUCAUGGACAGGCAGAAACUUCACUGUUUGGCCAAGCUUUACUCCCUCCUCCAGCCAUCCUAGUGGAAAAAUUACUCAAAAGUCUCUUCCCAAAGUUUAUAGGACUGCAAAAUGUGGUAAUUAUAGAAUUAAGGAUGAAGGUUUCAUUCAUUCAUUGCUCCUGUUCCCAAACAUAGACCUGCCAUGCCCUCGGCCAGCUGUCUGCGUGGGGAAGCAGCGAGGGAGCUGGCUGCUCCACAAGGGAAGGGGAACCUGUGGCUUCGUUACGGCUGGUGUGAGCAGAGGCCUCACCAACAAGGUGCCAGGAUGCAGAGCAGCACAUCCAGGUCUGGAUCAGGGCCAGAGAAGGUGGGCAGAGUCAGACACAAUCCAGUGAUGAGGCAGUCCAACGUCAUGCCUGGCAGAGAGCUGUCAAGCACUGACUGAGAGCUGCCACCUCUGCUGUGAUGUUGCACAGGCAGGGCUUGGUGGUAAGGCCUCAGCAUAAGAGCAGCCCCCGGGGGAGAGGAGUGGGAGGCCUUCUCCUCCAGCUUCCUUCACAACAGUUCCUACCAGGGAGGGAGCAGACCUUGGGCUCCAACUGCUAAACUGAAUUCAGCCAACUAAACUCCCUGAAGGGGGUGCCCUCUGGACCCUACAUAACAAAAAUCUGGAGCAAGCAAGGAGAGGAUUCCUCACCUACUUUAAAAUUUGCAAGAAGGUUUUUGGUAAUUGGAUAUUACAAGCCACUACCUUGGAUAGAGUUGAUGGAUAGGCUCCAGCUUUGUAAAAUAAACAGCCUUCCCGCAGCA